UACGAAGGGGGCUAGCGUUGCUCGGAAUCACUGGGCGUAAAGCGCACGUAGGCGGAUCUUUAAGUCAGGGGUGAAAUCCUGGAGCUCAACUCCAGAACUGCCCUUGAAACUGCAGUGCUAGAAUUCUGGAGAGGCGAGUGGAAUUCCGAGUGUAGAGGUGAAAUUCGUAGAUAUUCGGAAGAACACCAGUGGCGAAGGCGACUCGCUGGACAGACAUUGACGCUGAGGUGCGAAAGCGUGGGGAGCAAACAGG
This 253-nucleotide ribosomal RNA is filed under the name uncultured bacterium. RNAcentral describes it as "partial 16S ribosomal RNA". It matches the Rfam family "Bacterial small subunit ribosomal RNA", at positions 524 to 776 of the family's 1533-position model. The record is from RNAcentral.